Molecule: ribosomal RNA, 254 nt
Filed under: uncultured bacterium
Lineage: Bacteria
Description: partial 16S ribosomal RNA
Rfam family: Bacterial small subunit ribosomal RNA
Source: RNAcentral
UACGGGGGGAGCAAGCGUUGUUCGGAUUUACUGGGCGUAAAGGGCGCGUAGGCGGCCUCUGCAAGUCGACUGUGAAAUCUCCGGGCUUAACCCGGAAAGGUCAGCCGAUACUGCAGGGCUAGAGUGCAGAAGGGGCAACUGGAAUUCUCGGUGUAGCGGUGAAAUGCGUAGAUAUCGGGAGGAACACCAAUGGCGAAGGCAGCUCGCUGGGACGGUACUGACGCUGAGACGCGAAAGCGUGGGGAGCAAACAGG